UGCUGAUGAUGAUAAAUCCAAAGGCUUGUUUCUCAAAAUUCGCAGUGGCCGCCUGAAAGCUUUCGCCUCGCCAGGCUUGAGAGCUUAUGUUGCUCAACUUUUCCUUCCUUGGAUGUCUGAAGCU
Small nucleolar RNA from Phoenix dactylifera (date palm), 124 nucleotides. RefSeq annotates it as small nucleolar RNA SNORD14. NCBI's taxonomy places the organism in Eukaryota, Viridiplantae, Streptophyta, Magnoliopsida, Arecales, Arecaceae. The record is from RefSeq and is a predicted model, not a curated record.